RNAcentral lists this long non-coding RNA (807 nucleotides) under Cyanistes caeruleus (blue tit). RNAcentral's name for it is "lncRNA (ENSCCEG00000021284.1)". The record is from RNAcentral. Lineage: Eukaryota; Metazoa; Chordata; Aves; Passeriformes; Paridae.
GUGGAAAAUUGGUGUCUUCAGUCAAGGUUUCUGCUUGAUGGUUUCCAUCCUGUUUGGAAUUGGUGGCUGAAGGGUUUUAAAGUGAACAGACUGGUGGCACUGGCUGCCAUAGGUUUGGAGGACAGACUCAGGACACAUGGAUGGAGCUCCACGUCUGCUUCCAUCAUUAAAUGAGGAGGCUGCUGAUGGCUCUCCUGCAUCUCCCAUCCAGCCAUCCAAGACUUGUCCUGCAGCCACAGAGGAUCCAGGCCAGUUUUGGGGGGCAGGGACUGCACUGCCACAGGGAACUCCAGACCUCAGUCCUGGGAGAGAGACAGAGCCAAGGCAGGUGAGGGCAGUGCCCUCUGAAGCAGGAGGACACAUCCAUGUGGGCCACUGUCCUUGGAUGUGGGAGGAUGGGAGGAGAAGAGGGCCAAGGCAUCUGCCUUGGAGAUGGAGAAGUCCUGCAGGCUCCCAGCUUGCCAUUUGUGCCAUCCUGCUUGUUUAUAGGAGAAAGUGAAGUGAAUAAGAACAGAUUGAGACCAGUGAGAACAAUGACCUGGACUCUGCACCAAUCAAUCACCAAGCAGGAGACCUUGGAUCGUGCCAAAGGGUCACAGAGACCUGAUGAAGACCUCCUGACUUCAUCCUUUGAAGACCACUGACCCGAUGUGAGACCACUGACUCAAACCAAGAGAAGAAUUGUGCACACAUGAAGGACUAACAGCCUCAUGUUAAUACUGGAUGGGGAUGGGAGGUGCUGGGGUUAUGCAUAUGGAUUGUAUGGAAGAUCUUGGGAAAUAAACAGAUGGAAAAGAAGCUCGUUCA